GAUGAACGCUGGCGGCGUGCCUAAUACAUGCAAGUCGAGCGAACGGACGAGAAGAUUGCUUCUCUGAUGUUAGAGGCGGACGGGUGAGUAACACGUGGAUAACAUACCUAUAAGACUGGGAUAACUUCGGGGAACCGUCGCUAAUACCGGAUAAUAUUUUGAUCCGCAUGGUUCAAAAGUGAAAGACGGUCUUGCUGUCACUUAUAGAUGGAUCCGCGCUGCAUUAGCUAGUUGGUAAGGUAACGGCUUACCCAGGCAACGAUGCAUAGCCGACCUGGGAGGGUGAUCGGCCACACUGGAACUGAGACACGGUCCAGACUCCUACGGGAGGCAGCAGUAGGGAAUCUUCCGCAAUGGGCGAAAGCCUGACGGAGCAACGCCGCGUGAGUGAUGAAGGUCUUCGGAUCGUAAAACUCUGUUAUUAGUGAAGAACAUAUGUGUAAGUAACUGUGCACAUCUUGACGGUACCUAAUCAGAAAGCCACGGCUAACUACGUG
Molecule: ribosomal RNA, 497 nt
Filed under: uncultured bacterium
Lineage: Bacteria
Description: partial 16S ribosomal RNA
Rfam family: Bacterial small subunit ribosomal RNA
Source: RNAcentral